Molecule: ribosomal RNA, 483 nt
Filed under: uncultured bacterium
Lineage: Bacteria
Description: partial 16S ribosomal RNA
Rfam family: Bacterial small subunit ribosomal RNA
Source: RNAcentral
UUGAACGCUGGCGGCAUGCUUUACACCUGCAAGUCGAACGGCAGCGCGGGCUUCGGCCUGGCGGCGAGUGGCGAACGGGUGUGUAAUGCAUCGGAACGUGCCCAGUAGUGGGGGAUAGCCCGGCGAAAGCCGGAUUAAUACCGCAUACGACCUGAGGGUGAAAGCGGGGGACUGAAAGGCCUCGCGCUAUUGGAGCGGCCGAUGUCGGAUUAGCUAGUUGGUGGGGUAAAGGCUUACCAAGGCGACGAUCCGUAGCUGGUCUGAGAGGGCGACCAGCCACACUGGGACUGAGACACGGCCAAGACUCCUACGGGAGGCAGCAGUGGGGAAUUUUGGACAAUGGGGGCAACCCUGAUGCAGCCAUGCCGCGUGCGGGAAGAAGGCCUUCGGGUUGUAAACCGCUUUUGUUCGGGAAGAAAUACUCUGGGCUAAUACCCCGGGGGGAUGACGGUACCGGAAGAGUAAGCACCGGCUAACUACGUG